This 313-nucleotide long non-coding RNA is filed under the name Physcomitrium patens. Its description in RNAcentral is "long non-coding RNA (PPAT_LNC002310)". Lineage: Eukaryota; Viridiplantae; Streptophyta; Bryopsida; Funariales; Funariaceae. The record is from RNAcentral.
GAUUAAGAUUUGAUUAGGAUUUAGGGUUAGGGUUAGGAUUUGGUUUAGAUUAAGAUUUGAUAAGGAUUUAGGGUUAGGAUUAGGAUUUUAUUAGGAUUUGGUUUAGGAUUUAGGAUUUGAAUAGGGUUAGGAUUUGAUUAGGAUUUAAAGUUAGGGUUUGACUAGGAUUUGAUUAGGAUUUGUUUAGGAUUUGACUAGGAUUUGUUCAGGGUUUGGAAUUGAUUAGGAUUUUUUAGGGUUAUGAUUUAUCUAAGAUUUGAUUAGGAUAUGUUUACGAUUUAGGGUUUUUAUAGGAUUUGAUUAAGGUUAGAUU